Molecule: ribosomal RNA, 275 nt
Filed under: uncultured prokaryote
Description: partial 16S ribosomal RNA
Rfam family: Bacterial small subunit ribosomal RNA
Source: RNAcentral
CACGUAGGAGGCAAACGUUAUCCGGAUUUACUGGGCGUAAAGCGCGUGUAGGUGGUUCUGUAAGUAGGGCGUGAAAGCUCCCGGCUCAACUGGGAGAGGCCGUUCUAAACUGCAGAGCUAGAGGAUGGUAGAGGGAGGUGGAAUUCCAGGUGUAGCGGUGGAAUGCGCAGAUAUCUGGAGGAACACCAGUGGCGAAGGCGGCCUCCUGGACCAUUCCUGACACUCAAACGCGAAAGCUAGGAUAGCAAACGGGAUUAGAUACCCAGGUAGUCCCU